GAUGCGCCAGGCCGGGGUCAAGGCCUCGGUGCGCUUCUGGUACACCUGGGGUGGGACCGCCACCGCUUCUAGGGCUCAGAUUCUCCAGCACAUUG
RNAcentral lists this transfer RNA (95 nucleotides) under Meiothermus luteus. RNAcentral's name for it is "tRNA-Arg". Lineage: Bacteria; Thermotogati; Deinococcota; Deinococci; Thermales; Thermaceae. The record is from RNAcentral.